Molecule: ribosomal RNA, 1499 nt
Filed under: uncultured prokaryote
Description: partial 16S ribosomal RNA
Rfam family: Bacterial small subunit ribosomal RNA
Source: RNAcentral
AGAGUUUGAUCAUGGCUCAGAUUGAACGCUGGCGGCAUGCCUAACACAUGCAAGUCGAACGGUAACAGAACUAGCUUGCUAGUUGCUGACGAGUGGCGGACGGGGGAGUAAUGUAUAGGAACUUGCCUAGUAGUGGGGGACAACCUGUGGAAACGCAGGCUAAUACCGCAUAAUCUCUACGGAGGAAAGUGGGGGACCUUUCGGGGCCUCAUGCUAUUAGAUAGGCCUAUAUUGGAUUAGCUAGUUGGUGAGGUAAUGGCUCACAAAGGCGACGAUCCAUAGCUGGUUUGAGAGAAUGAUCAGCCACACUGGGACUGAGACACGGCCCAGACUCCUACGGGAGGCAGCAGUGGGGAAUAUUGCACAAUGGAGGAAACUCUGAUGCAGCAAUGCCGCGUGUGUGAAGAAGGCCUUAGGGUUGUAAAGCACUUUCAGACGCGAGGAAAAGUUAAAAGUUAAUACCUUUUGACCUUGACGUUAACGUCAGAAGAAGCACCGGCUAACUCCGUGCCAGCAGCCGCGGUAAUACGGAGGGUGCAAGCGUUAAUCGGAAUUACUGGGCGUAAAGCGCGCGUAGGUGGCUAUAUAAGUCAGAUGUGAAAGCCCUGGGCUCAACCUAGGAACUGCAUUUGAAACUGUAUGGCUAGAGUAUGGUAGAGGAGUGUGGAAUUUCAGGUGUAGCGGUGAAAUGCGUAGAGAUCUGAAGGAACAUCAGUGGUGAAGGCGACACUCUGGACCAAUACUGACGCUGAGGUGCGAAAGCGUGGGUAGCAAACAGGAUUAGAUCCCCUGGUAGUCCACGCCGUAAACGAUGUCUACUAGCCGUUGGGUUCCUUGAAUACUUAGUGACGAAGCUAACGCGAUAAGUUGACCGCCUGGGGAGUACGGCCGCAAGGCUAAAACUCAAAUGAAUUGACGGGGGCCCGCACAAGCGGUGGAGCAUGUGGUUUAAUUCGAUCCAACGCGAAGAACCUUACCAGGUCUUGACAUCCAGAGAAUCCUUUAGAGAUAGAGGAGUGCCUUCGGGAAUUCUGAGACAGGUGCUGCAUGGCUGUCGUCAGCUCGUGUCGUGAGAUGUUGGGUUAAGUCCCGUAACGAGCGCAACCCUUAUCCUUAUUUGCCAUCAUUUAGUUGGGGACUAUAAGGAGACUGCCGGUGACAAACCGGAGGAAGGUGGGGACGACGUCAAGUCAUCAUGGCCCUUACGACUUGGGCUACACACGUGCUACAAUGGCCAGUACAAAGGGCUGCCACCCCGCGAGGGUGAGCUAAUCUCAUAAAACUGGUCGUAGUCCGGAUCGCAGUCUGCAACUCGACUGCGUGAAGUCGGAAUCGCUAGUAAUCGUGGAUCAGAAUUCCACGGUGAAUACGUUCCCGGGCCUUGUACACACCGCCCGUCACACCAUGGGAGUGGGUUGCAAAAGAAGUAGCUAGGCUAACCUUCGGGGGGUCGCUCACCACUUUGUGAUUCAUGACUGGGGUGAAGUCGUAACAAGGUA